GCCAUUUCGCCAGUUACGGCAUCAUUAGUGACGAAUUUAAUACUCUAAAUUUGUCACUGAUGAUGCCGUAACUGGCGAAAUGGC
This 84-nucleotide microRNA precursor is filed under the name Olea europaea subsp. europaea. The record is from RNAcentral. Lineage: Eukaryota; Viridiplantae; Streptophyta; Magnoliopsida; Lamiales; Oleaceae.